Mustela putorius furo (domestic ferret) is the source of this 104-nucleotide small nuclear RNA. The record is from Ensembl. Lineage: Eukaryota; Metazoa; Chordata; Mammalia; Carnivora; Mustelidae.
GUGCUCGCUCUUGGGGCACAUAUACAAAGAUUUGAACGAUACAGAAAUUAACAUGCCCCCUGUGCAAGGGUGACACACAAAUUUGUGAAGCAUUCCAUAUAAAA